GCCUGGGUGGCUUAGUCUGUUGAGCGCCUGACUUCGGCUCAGGUCAUGAUCUCACGGUCUGUGAGUUCGAGCCCUGCAUCGGGCU
This is a non-coding RNA of Felis catus (domestic cat), 85 nucleotides long. The record is from Rfam. Lineage: Eukaryota; Metazoa; Chordata; Mammalia; Carnivora; Felidae.